Dermacentor silvarum is the source of this 953-nucleotide long non-coding RNA. RefSeq lists it as uncharacterized. The record is from RefSeq and is a predicted model, not a curated record. The transcript has 4 exons. NCBI's taxonomy places the organism in Eukaryota, Metazoa, Arthropoda, Arachnida, Ixodida, Ixodidae.
AGCCACCAAGCGGCAGCCAUUACCACCAGCGCCGGCGCAUUGUUCUGCCGUCGUUGGUGUCUCCCGCGGUUUCGAACAGCCAAGACUCCACGACUGCAGCCGUUUCAUUGCCAGCUGUAAGGAUGAAGCAGCUUCAUAGCCGGACAUCAGACGCCUUCCAAGUUCCCCUUUUCAGCAACAGAGGCCUAGGAUGCCAUUCUACCUUUGCUGCAUUGUGUGGCUGACCACUCCAAGGAUCUCAGCAGAAUCAUUACACAGGAAGAAGUCCUGCUGACCCCAAGCAUGGUGUGAAAUGAAGAAAUGGCACUCCACAUGCCUAGAGAGCUUGAUUUCCCCUGUUUCAUGCUUACUUGUUAACAUAGCCAGUCUGUUAGCUUAAUUUUUGGUUCUUCCCUAUUGAAUGCUCAAGAAAGGCACCAAAACUGUCAUUCAUUGAAAAAAAAAUUGUGUUUACAGACACUGCCAUGCACAAAGCCCUUGACCUCAUUGAAUGUUUUUAAAAGAAAAUGCAGCUUCUGUGUGCAGCAAUAAGCUGAACAAGACGAGGGCAAACAGGAAGGUUGCGACAUUAGUGUUCAAGAGUUGGCCAACAAAGAAGGUCACAAGCUGAAGCCAACAUCUUUACAAGGGAAUAAAUGGAUAUAGCCUGAGCCAUUCCCUGUUCGACCAGCCAAGUCUCUUUGUCGAAACAUGUGCUCUAGCCUGAGGCGUACAUAUCCCGUUCUAUCCCGUUCUAUCACUCUCGAUCAACGAUACACCAAUACAAUUAGCAACUUGUGGCAAGGUCUUAAAUUCACGUUCGAAGGGAAUGUAGUGUGCACCCUGCAAGGUAGCAUGUAUAGUAUGUUAUUUACUUGAAUGAAAUGCAGAUUUGCUUGCCAGUUACUUUAUCCCCAUGUCAUAAUUGGAAAGCGUGGUUCCUAAGAAAGAAUAAUGAUUUGAAGUUCACGCAG